UACAGAGGUGGCAAGCGUUGUUCGGAAUUACUGGGCGUAAAGGGCGCGUAGGCGGCCCGCUAAGUCGAACGUGAAAUCCCCGAGCUCAACUCGGGAACUGCGUCCGAUACUGGUGGGCUUGAAUCCGGGAGAGGGAUGCGGAAUUCCAGGUGUAGCGGUGAAAUGCGUAGAUAUCUGGAGGAACACCGGUGGCGAAGGCGGCAUCCUGGACCGGUAUUGACGCUGAGGCGCGAAAGCUAGGGGAGCAAACGGG
This 253-nucleotide ribosomal RNA is filed under the name uncultured bacterium. RNAcentral's name for it is "partial 16S ribosomal RNA". It matches the Rfam family "Bacterial small subunit ribosomal RNA", at positions 524 to 776 of the family's 1533-position model. The record is from RNAcentral.